GUAAUGUCACUGGCUUCACUAGGCAUUUUAGGUUUUCCCAAUUUAUAUUCGCCUUAGAUGUUCUAUCAGUCGUAAGUCCGUCAUCUCGUAGGGUCGGGCCUCGCGAGCCUCGCCAGUUAUACCUUUAAAUAGGUGUUGGAGUCAUGAGAGUCAAAGCGUAUCUCAGUUGCCAUCAUUCUAGAUGUGUGGUUUUCGUAUGUUGUGUGGUUUGCUUGUCAACCAUUUGGGGCCCCGUAUUG
This is a non-coding RNA of Pelobates cultripes (western spadefoot toad), 239 nucleotides long. NCBI's taxonomy places the organism in Eukaryota, Metazoa, Chordata, Amphibia, Anura, Pelobatidae. The record is from the annotation of a GenBank genome assembly.